UGCGUAGGCGGUCGGGUAAGUCUGAUGUGAAAUCUCGGAGCUUAACUCCGAAACGGCAUUGGAUACUGCCUGGCUCGAGGUUGGGAGGGGGGACUGGAAUUCUCGGUGUAGCAGUGAAAUGCGUAGAUAUCGAGAGGAACACCAGUGGCGAAGGCGAGUCCCUGGACCAAUCCUGACGCUGAGGCACGAAAGCCAGGGGAGCAAACG
This 207-nucleotide ribosomal RNA is filed under the name uncultured bacterium. Its description in RNAcentral is "partial 16S ribosomal RNA". It matches the Rfam family "Bacterial small subunit ribosomal RNA", at positions 568 to 774 of the family's 1533-position model. The record is from RNAcentral.